UUUAUUUAAUCUUAUUCUAUUUUCCUUUAUUUAUUUGCCUUUAUUUUCCUUUAUUUUUUCCUUUAUUUAUUUUCCUUUUUUUUCCUUUAUUUAUUUUCCUUUAUUUUUUCCUUUAUUUAUUUUCCUUUAUUUUUUCCUUUAUUUUCUUUUAUUUUCCUUUAUUUUUUCCUUUAUUUAUUUUCCUUUAUUUUUCCUUUAUUUUCCUUUGUUUUUCUUUUUUUUCCCCUUUAUUUUCUUUUAUUUUUCCUUUAUUUUCCUUUAUUUAUUUUUUCCUUUAUUUUUCCCUCUAUUUAUUUUCCUUUAUUUUCCUCUAUUUAUUUUCCUUUAUUUUUUCCUUUAUUUUCCUUUAUUUUUUCCUUUAUUUAUUUUCCUUUAUUUUUUCCUUUAUUUUCCUUUAUUUAUUUUCUUUUAUUUUUCCCUCUAUUUAUUUCCCUUUAUUUUCCUUUCUCUCACGUUCUUUCCCUUCCUCCCAUUUUAACUUAGUUCAGCUUUUCCCUUCCUUUCUCUUCCUUUUAUUCCCCUGAUUUCUUUUCAUCCCUUUCCAUUUCUGUACCUUUUAUCUCCUUUUUAUUUCCAAUUUCUUUCCUUUUUACGCUUUUAUUCCUUUCCCUUUCCCAUCCUUUGUUUUUACCCCUCUUCCACCCCCCUUUUUUCCAUGGAUUUUGGGGUUUCCAGUGGGAAUUCACGGCUGGAGGGGAAACUGAGGCAGGACUCUCUGUGCCCACAGGUGCCAGGGGGGCGUGGGGGGUGCCCCCCGUGUCCCCACGGUGUCCCCGAGCCCUGGGCCCACAGUGAGGACCCCAAAACCACCCCGAACCCAGGAGCAGCCCCCCAAAAAGCGACCCCGAAACGCCCCGAGCCCGCGGAGGAGGAACCGGAGGAGCCGUGCCCGCCCUGCGGCCCCGAGGGGGCCCUGCCGGUGCCGGGGGACCCCCGAGUGACACCGCCGGUACCGGGGGUGCCCCCCGAGCCCCCCGGGGACAUCAUCCCCCUGUACUGCGCCCUCCUGGCCGGCCUCGUCGUGGGGCUCGUGGCCUACGUGGCCUUCAAGUGCUGGGGCACCUGCCGGAGGAAGCGGCAGCUGGACAAGGCGCGGGACGCGGCGGAGGCGGAGAAGCCGCGGGGGGACGGCGGCGGCAGCACCGAGAGCGCCGGUCCGGAGCGGGGCCAGCCCGGUGAGCGCCCCGGGAGCGCGGCCGGGGGACACCGGGGGUUUGGGGACACCGGGGACCGGGGGACUGG
This 1242-nucleotide long non-coding RNA is filed under the name Taeniopygia guttata (zebra finch). Its description in RNAcentral is "lncRNA (ENSTGUG00000025084.1)". Lineage: Eukaryota; Metazoa; Chordata; Aves; Passeriformes; Estrildidae. The record is from RNAcentral.